Long non-coding RNA from Canis lupus familiaris (dog), 2566 nucleotides. RefSeq lists it as uncharacterized. The transcript has 8 exons. The record is from RefSeq and is a predicted model, not a curated record. Lineage: Eukaryota; Metazoa; Chordata; Mammalia; Carnivora; Canidae.
AACGGCGUCGGGCAAGCAGCAAGGCGAGCGCCGGUCAGCGGCUGCCCAAGAUCUCGGAACACAAAAGAAAGUUCACUGAGAAGCCAAACUCCUGUUAUGAGAUCAAAUGGGCCAAAAGCCUGUUUCUGCUGAGGGAGCCCGAGAGCAGAGGUGUCCGCGCUGAGGUGGGACACAGGGUGGGCCAGGACGUCGGCCCCAGGCAGGCAGACUGCAGGCCAACUCACCGGAACCUGACCACCUGGAUUCGGCCAAGGAACAGGAACUAGGGGGUACGCCCCCCAACAGCUACUCUGGCGGACAUGAACAUUAUUAUCUGAAUCACCGAAGAGUACGAGAUCUACAGCCAGAGAGACCCUGGCUCCGUCUCCACACCACCACUCUGAAGGGUAGAUCUUGGGCGAAUCACAGCAAAUUGGUUCCUUCUGAGGCUAGCGUGGUAUUCUCCUCCCCGCCACGUCCAUGCUACCAGGAAUGCUAUACACGCAAAAAAUUGUAUGGCUAUUCUGAAAUUUUCAAGUUGCUAAAACAAACAAACACAAAAAGCAACCAAACAACGCACGAACUCUUGGUUUGGACGGUGGAAGGCACUCAGUCGACGAAGGUAGCGUGUGAACUGCUGGCUGAUGACUCAGGAAGAAAACAGCUCAAAACUUCUCUGUAACUCGGAGAAUGAGUACAGUGGACCCCUUCAAAAGCAGAGCAAGGUGUGUGGGCUUUUCAGAGAGCUGUAUACCUGACAGUGCGUUCUUCACGCAUGGGGAACGUCUACCUCGAGCACACCGGCUCCAAGUGCCUUCUAGGUAACCACCCUGUGGGAGCUGACCUCCCUCCUGCAGGUGCACACCUGGCCUCCUGCAGCUCAGCCUGUGAGACGGCGUAGGGGACCACCUGCCACCACAAGUCACAGCUCCACGGACGCAGUCCUGUUCUCUCUGAAUCAUCAAGUGUCUCAGCCAACUCAGCCCCAAAGUUUCUAUUUUGAGGUGGAGGAGCAGCAGAAGGCCCUUACAGGGCGGCUCCCAACACCACCCCCGCCUCCUUGGGUGCGCCCAGAGGAGCCAGAAAGUACAACAGGAUGAGGCCCACCCGCUGAAGGCAGCAGUCGUAAUCGCGUUCUUACCUGAUGUGGCCGAUCAACUCAAUGAGCUUGUGGCUAAAAAAAUAGGCUGUGAGCUCAGACACAUGACUGAGGACAGAACAGACCCCAAAGAGGGUCGUGGUUCCAUUCAAGUCUUCCAGAUGCCAGUAGAGAAAGGUGAACACGAAGCCGUACCCAAAGCCCAUAAACCAGGCCACGAACAGCACGGAGCCGUACUGCACGCUGCAAAGCAGCCGGAUCAGGUCCCAGAAGCUGAAGGCCUGCGGGUGGCCCGGCGCGCCUGGCGCCUCCUCCGAGGACUCUGUGGAGCUGUUCCCCUCCACUUGCGGGAUCUCCACCUCUUUCCCUUUACUCUCAUUGUUUUUGAAAUGGUUGUAACGGAACCGGAACUGAGUGGCAACAAUCAAGGCCAGGGUCAUGAGAACUCCAAAGACGAUGAAGACGACCUGGUAGUUGCGGUACUCAGGCGGCUUACAGCCCCUUCCGUCGAUGAGCACCUCUAGAUACUGAAGGGUUACGGUGUCCACGAUGGUGACGGAGGAGGCACUGAAAAACUCUCCUAUUAUGACGACCACCAAGAUCACCAAGAAUAUAGCCUCCACCUCUUGCUGAUCAUAAACAAGAGUGACUUGAUCAGAAGGCACGAUAUGCGCGGAGCCCAGGUCCAGCUCACCCGUUACCCUGGUGAGGAGUUUGGAUGCGGUGGGCAUUUCUCAGGCAAAGAAUGAAUGGAAGCUUCGUAGGUGUCACCCAACGUGUCGUUCUUAAACGACCGAACAAAGACGUCGCGGUAUGUAACGACGGUGGUCGCAGCAGCAGCUGACACUUCACGGGACUUACCUGUGCCAGGGCCUUUCACAUAUUCAUUCUCGCAACAGCCCCGUACCAGUGGGUGCUGUUACUCUCCCAUUCGACGGAUGCGAACACGGCUGCGUGUGAAAGGUUAAGCAGCUUGCAGGGUCACCUCGCUCAGCGGCAGCAGGAUCCGCGUUCAGACCAAGGGAGCGUGGCGUCAGGACCGCCCGUGGACCAGCCCCUUCCAUAUUCCCAUAUGGGGGCUUAGGGAUUUUACUUUUUACUAAAAAAAUGUAUUUAUUCGUGAGACACACACAGAGAGGCAGAGACCCAGGCAGAGGGAGGAGCAGCGUCCUCCGGGGAGCCCGACGCGGGACUCGAUCCCGGGACCCCGGGUCACGCACGCCCUGGGCCGAAGGGAGCCCCCUUGAAAGUGUCUCUUCCUCUGACUUGUGACGCUCGAGCCUGGGGUCUUCGUCGCCCCUCUGGCCUCUGUACGCUUCCCUUGGCCUCGGUCCGCGGCCUUGCUUGCUUCUAGCAGCUUCUCUGCUCUCUGUCCUCCUCCUCGGCCGUCGUAGGUCCGCAGGUCGCCUCCCUCGGGUCCCCGGCCCGGAGCACGCCGACCUGCCGCAGCUCUGCCCCCCUCGGCCGGCCCCUCCCCCUCUCCGUCGC